RNAcentral lists this ribosomal RNA (434 nucleotides) under uncultured Lachnospiraceae bacterium. Its description in RNAcentral is "partial 16S ribosomal RNA". It matches the Rfam family "Bacterial small subunit ribosomal RNA", at positions 341 to 792 of the family's 1533-position model. Lineage: Bacteria; Bacillati; Bacillota; Clostridia; Lachnospirales; Lachnospiraceae. The record is from RNAcentral.
ACGGGAGGCAGCAGUGGGGAAUAUUGGACAAUGGGCGCAAGCCUGAUCCAGCGACGCCGCGUGAGCGAUGAAGUAUUUCGGUAUGUAAAGCUCUAUCAGCAGGGAAGAAAACGACGGUACCUGACUAAGAAGCUCCGGCUAAAUACGUGCCAGCAGCCGCGGUAAUACGUAUGGAGCAAGCGUUAUCCGGAUUUACUGGGUGUAAAGGGAGCGUAGACGGCAUCACAAGUCAGAAGUGAAAAUCCGGGGCUCAACCCCGGAACUGCUUUUGAAACUGUGGAGCUAGAGUGCAGGAGAGGUAAGCGGAAUUCCUAGUGUAGCGGUGAAAUGCGUAGAUAUUAGGAGGAACACCAGUGGCGAAGGCGGCUUACUGGACUGUAACUGACGUUGAGGCUCGAAAGCGUGGGGAGCAAACAGGAUUAGAUACCCUGGUA